RNAcentral lists this ribosomal RNA (484 nucleotides) under uncultured bacterium. RNAcentral's name for it is "partial 16S ribosomal RNA". It matches the Rfam family "Bacterial small subunit ribosomal RNA", at positions 30 to 507 of the family's 1533-position model. The record is from RNAcentral.
AUUGAACGCUGGCGGCAGGCCUAACACAUGCCAGUCGAGCGGAUGAAGGGAGCUUUCUCCUGGAGUCAGCGGCGGACGGGUGAGUGAUUCCUAGGAAUCUGCCUGGUAUGGGUGGAUGACGUCCGGAAGCGGGCGCUGAUACCGCAUCCGUCCUGAGGGAGAAAGUGGGGGAUCUUCGGACCUAACUCUAUCAGCUGAGCCUAGGUCGGAUUAGCUAGUUGGUGGGGUAAAGGCCUACCAAGGCGACGUUCCGAAACUUGUCUGAGAGGAUGAUCAUUCACCCUGGAACUGAGACACGGUCAAGACUCCUGCGGGACGCAGCAGUGGGGAAUAUUGGACAAUGGGCGAAAGCAUGAUACAGCCAUGCCGAGUGUGUGAAGAAGGUCUUCGGAUCGUAAAGCCCUUUAAGUUGGGAGGAACCGCAGUAAGUUAAUACGUUGCUGUUUUGACGUUACCAACAGAAUAAGCACCGGCUAACUACGUG